AGUCCAGCUUCAGAACUGGGCCUCACGGAUCUCUAAGUGGAGCAUUCCCUGGAGAGAGACUCAGGACAAUAUUAAAUCCAAUGAAUCACCCGGCCUUCGGGGGGCAGGGCGGCGUGCCACAGAGCAGCGUGGAACGAGGCCUGGCCCGAUGUCCCUGGUGGCAGCAGCCGCAGCAUGAGGCACCACACUCUGUUUCAACAAAGACUCAGGAAGCUUCGUCUUCGGAUCACCAGGGACAGGCACGGAGGCAGAUGGUGAGGGCCAUUCAAGGACAUCUUCAGCACAGCGCGGUGGAAGGCGGAGUUGGUUCGUGGCCCUGGAUUCCGCUCGCUUGGCCCAACAGCCUCAGGUAUGGUACCCGUCCUGGCUCGUGGGUUCCUGGUUCU
RNAcentral lists this long non-coding RNA (386 nucleotides) under Oryctolagus cuniculus (rabbit). RNAcentral describes it as "lncRNA (ENSOCUG00000035518.1)". The record is from RNAcentral. Lineage: Eukaryota; Metazoa; Chordata; Mammalia; Lagomorpha; Leporidae.